This is a long non-coding RNA of Pristis pectinata (smalltooth sawfish), 980 nucleotides long. RefSeq lists it as uncharacterized. Lineage: Eukaryota; Metazoa; Chordata; Chondrichthyes; Rhinopristiformes; Pristidae. The record is from RefSeq and is a predicted model, not a curated record. The transcript has 3 exons.
GGGGACCGCCGGCCGGAAGUCGCGUCGGCGCCCUCGCGCCCGCGAGGCCCGGGUCCGUGCGCGCGGCCCCGGCUCCCGCCAGGCUCGUGCGCGCGGCCGAGUCGCGCUAUUGCGGAGUAGGUCGGGGCGAAGGAUGAGCUGGUUCCAUUCUAUCUGGCUGGGAAGUGGGCCGAGUGUCCUGUGGGGAUCUUCAGCAGCUUUGAAACACCAAGGCUGUUGCAGUUGGAAUGCACUGGAAUGGAGCUGAGGUCACUCCUGUCAAAGAUGGUCUUGGUUGAGGAGAUCUUCAGUCCUUCCAGUUGACGGAUCUUCCUCACCAAGGCAGGAGAUGGAACUACCACCCCCUCCGCAUCCAAAGCCCACAACUCCUUCCAGCUAACACACCGACUUACUUGUAAUUUCUCCCACUGAGUGUACAUUACUUCUGCCGACAGUAGAGGAGAGACCACAUGCUUAUUGUGGGAUUGCUUUGUGUGGCCCAGCCUUCUGGUCACCUGCCACUACAGUUCUGUGCCCCACUCUCGCUCUGUCUCUUUCUCUUCAGCCUCCUCUGCUGUUCAGUGAAGUUCCCCAGAAGCUGAAUGUUGGAUUAAGGCAAUUUACAGCCUCCAGACUCAGUUGUUUCAGACCAUGACCAUGUUCAUGGACAGCAGUGGUUUCUGAUGGAUUUGUUGUUACUAUUUAAAACCUCUCUGUGUAGCAGUUAGCGUAACACUUUACAGCACCAGUGAUCCGGGUUCAAUUCCGGCCGCUGUCUGUAAGGAGUUUGUAUGUCCUCCCCGUGUCUGCAUGGGUUUCCUCCAGGUGCUCCGGUUUCCUCCCAUAUUCCAAAGACAUACAGGUUAGGAAGUUGUGGGCAUGCUAUGUUGGCGCCAGAAGCGUAGCGACACUUGCGGGCUGUCCCCAGAACACUCUACGCAAAAGAUGCAUUUCAUUGUGUGUUUUGAUGUACAUGUGACUAAUAAAGAAAUCUUAUCUUG